GAUCGUGUAGCUCAGUUGGUAGAGCAGCGGACUUUUAAUCCGCAGGUCCUGGGUUCGAGCCCCAGCGCGAUCA
This 73-nucleotide transfer RNA is filed under the name Phycisphaerales bacterium. Its description in RNAcentral is "tRNA-Lys". It matches the Rfam family "tRNA". Rfam says of the family: Transfer RNA (tRNA) molecules are approximately 80 nucleotides in length. Their secondary structure includes four short double-helical elements and three loops (D, anti-codon, and T loops). Lineage: Bacteria; Pseudomonadati; Planctomycetota; Phycisphaerae; Phycisphaerales. The record is from RNAcentral.